This 76-nucleotide transfer RNA is filed under the name Hormaphis betulae. Its description in RNAcentral is "tRNA-Val". Lineage: Eukaryota; Metazoa; Arthropoda; Insecta; Hemiptera; Hormaphididae. The record is from RNAcentral.
AUUUAUUUAUGGUUUUAUAAAUAAAUAUCUAAGUUUAAGUAUAUCAUUUACAAUGAUAAGAUGUUUUUAACUUUAU